Molecule: long non-coding RNA, 835 nt
Organism: Marmota monax (woodchuck)
Lineage: Eukaryota; Metazoa; Chordata; Mammalia; Rodentia; Sciuridae
Exons: 2
Source: RefSeq, a predicted model, not a curated record
GCGCGGGCCGCGCCCCCGGCGCCGGGGAUUCGGGGAUCCUGGCGUGGGAAGCGGCGCGCUCUGCUAAUAAAUCGGCUUGCGCUCGCGGGGCCCGCAGGUCAACUAUCAUCAUUACACUCAGACUCACUGAGAUUAGGUUAUAAGAAGGCAGCUGGAAUCGCCCGAGUCGCUGUGGGAGCGUCAGUGAGUAACAGCCAGGCCAGCUGAGCCGGCAUGGAAAUACGUUCAGACUCCGGACUUGUUUAUCUCGGGGCUCUUAGCUCCGUCCACUGUUCUGCUCAGAACAUCAGACUCCUAGAUGUGUGCUCAGUCCCGCUUCCUUGCUUCCUCCGAAAGCCUCACUCCUGGGAAACGGGAUCUCUCCUGCAACUAGGGUCCACGACGAGGGUCCUACGGGCUGGGGGCGGGGCCACUUGGCCCCGGGAACAAUGAGGCCAUUGCCUCUUCUGCGUGCUGCGGGCCGGAUAUCCGUUCUGAAGGCGGCUCUGGGCUUUCUCUGUCCAGAAGGAGGAAACCUUCGGUCACCAGGGCUGCAAGGAAAUAGCAGGGAGGUGCCCCGAGGAACGGAGAACAAUUAUGCAUGGAGAAUAUAAAGAAAUGAGCAAACUUUCCUGGCCUUGGACAGCGAUUCCAGUUAUCCGGGAUUAUCUUCUUUCCUGGUGUAAAUACCUUCAUGCCACCAUUCCCUAGUGUCUGGAUUUGGAUGGGAAACACACCCAGAGAAAAUACAUAAGUCCUGCUGGUCACUCAGCAAGAAGAUGUUACCCUGUCCACUUCUCCCGCCAAUACAGGGAGAUGCAUCCUGCCUACAAAAUAAAUGAUUCCAUGUCAAGUA